GACGAACGCUGGCGGCGUGCCUAAUACAUGCAAGUAGAACGCACAGUUUAUACCGUAGCUUGCUACACCAUAGACUGUGAGUUGCGAACGGGUGAGUAACGCGUAGGUAACCUGCCUGGUAGCGGGGGAUAACUAUUGGAAACGAUAGCUAAUACCGCAUAAUAUUAAUUAUUGCAUGAUAAUUAAUUGAAAGGUGCAAUUGCACCACUACCAGAUGGACCUGCGUUGUAUUAGCUAGUAGGUGAGGUAACGGCUCACCUAGGCGACGAUACAUAGCCGACCUGAGAGGGUGAUCGGCCACACUGGGACUGAGACACGGCCCAGACUCCUACGGGAGGCAGCAGUAGGGAAUCUUCGGCAAUGGACGAAAGUCUGACCGAGCAACGCCGCGUGAGUGAAGAAGGUUUUCGGAUCGUAAAGCUCUGUUGUAAGAGAAGAACGGGUGUGAGAGUGGAAAGUUCACACUGUGACGGUAUCUUACCGGAAAGGGACGGCUAACUACGUG
RNAcentral lists this ribosomal RNA (505 nucleotides) under uncultured bacterium. RNAcentral's name for it is "partial 16S ribosomal RNA". It matches the Rfam family "Bacterial small subunit ribosomal RNA", at positions 28 to 507 of the family's 1533-position model. The record is from RNAcentral.